UGGGGAAUUUUGGACAAUGGGCGAAAGCCUGAUCCAGCCAUGCCGCGUGAGUGAAGAAGGCCUUCGGGUUGUAAAGCUCUUUCAGACGGAAAGAAAACUUCUGGGCUAAUACCCUGGGAGGAUGACGGUACCGUAAGAAGAAGCACCAACUAACUACGUGCCAGCAGCCGCGGUAAUACGGAGGGUGCAAGCGUUAAUCGGAAUUACUGGGCGUAAAGCGUGCGCAGGCGGUUAUAUAAGAUAGAUGUGAAAUCCCCGGGCUCAACCUGGGACCUGCAUUUGUGACUGUAUAGCUAGAGUACGGUAGAGGGGGAUGGAAUUCCGCGUGUAGCAGUGAAAUGCGUAGAUAUGCGGAGGAACACCGAUGGCGAAGGCAAUCCCCUGGACCUGUACUGACGCUCAUGCACGAAAGCGUGGGGAGCAAACA
Molecule: ribosomal RNA, 427 nt
Filed under: uncultured bacterium
Lineage: Bacteria
Description: bacterial SSU rRNA
Rfam family: Bacterial small subunit ribosomal RNA
Source: RNAcentral